RNAcentral lists this ribosomal RNA (497 nucleotides) under uncultured bacterium. Its description in RNAcentral is "partial 16S ribosomal RNA". It matches the Rfam family "Bacterial small subunit ribosomal RNA", at positions 28 to 507 of the family's 1533-position model. The record is from RNAcentral.
GAUGAACGCUGGCGGCGUGCCUAAUACAUGCAAGUCGAGCGAACAGACGAGGAGCUUGCUCCUCUGACGUUAGCGGCGGACGGGUGAGUAACACGUGGAUAACCUACCUAUAAGACUGGGAUAACUUCGGGAAACCGGAGCUAAUACCGGAUAAUAUAUUGAACCGCAUGGUUCAAUAGUGAAAGACGGUUUUGCUGUCACUUAUAGAUGGAUCCGCGCCGCAUUAGCUAGUUGGUAAGGUAACGGCUUACCAAGGCUACGAUGCGUAGCCGACCUGAGAGGGUGAUCGGCCACACUGGAACUGAGACACGGUCCAGAGUCCUACGGGAGGCAGCAGUAGGGAAUCUUCCGCAAUGGGCGAAAGCUUGACGGAGCAACGCCGCGUGAGUGAUGAAGGUCUUCGGAUCGUAAAACUCUGUUAUUAGGGAAGAACAAAUGUGUAAGUAACUAUGCACGUCUUGACGGUACCUAAUCAGAAAGCCACGGCUAACUACGUG